AUUGAACGCUGGCGGCAGGCCUAACACAUGCAAGUCGAGCGGAUGAAGGGAGCUUGCUCCUGGAUUCAGCGGCGGACGGGUGAGUAAUGCCUAGGAAUCUGCCUGGUAGUGGGGGAUAACGUCCGGAAACGGGCGCUAAUACCGCAUACGUCCUGAGGGAGAAAGUGGGGGAUCUUCGGACCUCACGCUAUCAGAUGAGCCUAGGUCGGAUUAGCUAGUUGGUGGGGUAAAGGCCUACCAAGGCGACGAUCCGUAACUGGUCUGAGAGGAUGAUCAGUCACAAUGGAAAUGAGACAAGGUCCAGACUCCUAAGGGAGGCAGGAGUGGGGAAUAUUGGACAAUGGGCGAAAGCCUGAUCCAGGCAUGCCGCGUGUGUGAAGAAGGGCUUCGGAUUGUAAAGCACUUUAAGGUGGGAGGAAGGGCAGUAAGGUAAUACCUUGCUGUUUUGACGGUACCAACAGAAUAAGCACCGGCUAACUUCGUG
RNAcentral lists this ribosomal RNA (484 nucleotides) under uncultured bacterium. RNAcentral's name for it is "partial 16S ribosomal RNA". It matches the Rfam family "Bacterial small subunit ribosomal RNA", at positions 30 to 507 of the family's 1533-position model. The record is from RNAcentral.